UACGUAGGGUGCAAGCGUUGUCCGGAAUUAUUGGGCGUAAAGCGCACGUAGGCGGCUAUCUAAGUCGGAUGUGAAAUCCCUCGGCUUAACCAAGGAAGUGCACCCGAAACUGGAUAGCUUGAGUACAGAAGAGGAUCGCGGAAUUCCCGGUGUAGAGGUGAAAUUCGUAGAUAUCGGGAGGAACACCAGUGGCGAAGGCGGCGAUCUGGGCUGAUACUGACGCUGAGGUGCGAAAGCGUGGGGAGCAAACAGG
RNAcentral lists this ribosomal RNA (253 nucleotides) under uncultured bacterium. Its description in RNAcentral is "partial 16S ribosomal RNA". It matches the Rfam family "Bacterial small subunit ribosomal RNA", at positions 524 to 776 of the family's 1533-position model. The record is from RNAcentral.